AUGAUGGACUGGAGGAGAGGACUGUUACUCAUUUUUAUUUUCUGUGAAGGUGUUGUUGGUCAGACUCUGACACAGUCCGAGUCAGUGGUUAAAAGACCUGGAGAAUCACAUAAACUGACCUGUACGGCCUCUGGAUUCUCACUCACCGGCUACUGGAUGCACUGGAUCAGACAGGCUCCUGGGAAAGGACUGGAGUAUAUCGCUACAGACGCUGGUGGCAACAACUUUUACUCUGAGCCAGUCAGAGGCCGGUUUACUGCCUCCAGAGACUACGACAAACAGCAGCUGUAUCUGUAG
This is a non-coding RNA of Xiphophorus maculatus (southern platyfish), 297 nucleotides long. Lineage: Eukaryota; Metazoa; Chordata; Actinopteri; Cyprinodontiformes; Poeciliidae. The record is from the annotation of a RefSeq genome assembly.